Molecule: ribosomal RNA, 352 nt
Filed under: uncultured eukaryote
Lineage: Eukaryota
Description: SSU rRNA
Rfam family: Eukaryotic small subunit ribosomal RNA
Source: RNAcentral
AGCUCCAAUAGCGUAUAUUAAAGUUGUUGCGGUUAAAAAGCUCGUAGUUGGAUUUCUGCAUGGAAGAAGCGGUCCACCCUUUGGGUGAGUUACUGCUACCUUUUGUGCAUCUUUCUGAGAAGGCGUUCUUCUCUUCAUUGAGAGGCCGCAUGACUCAGAACGUUUACUUUGAGGAAAUGAGAGUGUUUCAAGCAGGCAAAUGCCUUGAAUACGUUAGCAUGGAAUAAUAGCAUCGGACCAUCGUCCAGCUGUUGGUGUCUGGGCGAAGGUAAAGGUGAAUAGGGAUUGUUGGGGGGCAUUCGUAUUUAACUGUCAGAGGUGAAAUUCUUGGAUUUGUUGAAGACGGACUACU